This 245-nucleotide ribosomal RNA is filed under the name uncultured bacterium. Its description in RNAcentral is "partial 16S ribosomal RNA". It matches the Rfam family "Bacterial small subunit ribosomal RNA", at positions 524 to 768 of the family's 1533-position model. The record is from RNAcentral.
GACGAACCGUCCAAACGUUAUUCGGAAUCACUGGGCUUAAAGGGUGCGUAGGCGGUCCGGUAAGUUGGGUGUGAAAGCCCUCGGCCUAACCGAGGAAUUGCGCCCAAUACUGUCGGACUUGAGCAAGGCAGUGGUGAGCGGAACUUAGGGUGGAGCGGUGAAAUGCGUUGAUAUCCUAAGGAACACCAGGAGCGAAAGCGGCUCACUGGGCCUUUUCUGACGCUGAGGCACGAAAGCUAGGGGAG